AUACGGAGGGGGCAAGCGUUGUUCGGAAUUACUGGGCGUAAAGGGCGUGUAGGCGGCUAUUCAAGUCAGGGGUGAAAGGCCUGGGCUCAACCUGGGAACUGCCUUUGAAACUGAAUGGCUUGAGACCGGAAGAGGAUGGCGGAAUUCCCAGUGUAGAGGUGAAAUUCGUAGAUAUUGGGAAGAACACCGGUGGCGAAGGCGGCCAUCUGGUCCGGUUCUGACGCUGAGGCGCGAAAGCGGGGGGAGCAAGCAGGAUUAGAUACCCUGGUAGUCCACGCCGUAAACGAUGUGCGCUAGCCGUCGGGGAACGCAGUUUCUCGGUGGCGCAGCUAACGCGAUAAGCGCACCGCCUGGGGAGUACGGCCGCAAGGUUAAA
Molecule: ribosomal RNA, 376 nt
Filed under: uncultured bacterium
Lineage: Bacteria
Description: bacterial SSU rRNA
Rfam family: Bacterial small subunit ribosomal RNA
Source: RNAcentral